AAGGAUCAUUAACGAAAGCUCGAGCGAGGUUGUGGCUGGUCCCUUCCGGGGGGCAACGUGCACGCCUCGUCUCUCGUCUUCAUCUAUCAACCCCUGUGCACCUCUGCGUGGGUCCCCCCACCUUCGGGGGCUUGCGUCCUUUCACCACAAAACACAUUCGUAUGUAUCUGAACGUUAUGAUGAUGAUAAAAACCAGUACAACUUUCAACAACGGAUCUCUUGGCUCUCGCAUCGAUGAAGAACGCAGCGAAAUGCGAUAAGUAAUGUGAAUUGCAGAAUUCAGUGAAUCAUCGAAUCUUUGAACGCACCUUGUGCCUCUUGGUAUUCCGAGGGGCACGCCUGUUUGAGUAUCGUGAAACCAUCAACCCGAUCCCCUUUUGUGAAAAAAACAAAGGGAAGAGGGCUUGGACUUGGAGGAAUUUGCUGGUCCCCCUUUGUGUUUGGGAUCGGCUCCUCUGGAAUGCAUUAGUGGAGCUUUCGACCGCCCUCGGUGUGAUAAUCGUCUGCGCCGACGUGUGGAAAGAGUUAAAGCAUCGCUUCGAACGGUCUCGUCCCGAGACAAGCUUUUUGAACCCAUCGAUCUCAAAUCAGGCGGGACUACCCGCCGAACUUAA
RNAcentral lists this ribosomal RNA (614 nucleotides) under Albatrellus sp. 1 RG-2012. Its description in RNAcentral is "eukaryotic LSU rRNA". The stretch from base 200 to 353 matches the Rfam family "5.8S ribosomal RNA". The record is from RNAcentral. Lineage: Eukaryota; Fungi; Basidiomycota; Agaricomycetes; Russulales; Albatrellaceae.